This 468-nucleotide ribosomal RNA is filed under the name uncultured bacterium. Its description in RNAcentral is "partial 16S ribosomal RNA". It matches the Rfam family "Bacterial small subunit ribosomal RNA", at positions 28 to 507 of the family's 1533-position model. The record is from RNAcentral.
GACGAACGCUGGCGGCGUGCUUAACACAUGCAAGUCGAACGGAAAGGCCCUGCUUUUGUGGGGUGCUCGAGUGGCGAACGGGUGAGUAACACGUGAGUAACCUGCCCUUGACUUUGGGAUAACUUCAGGAAACUGGGGCUAAUACCGGAUAGGAGCUCCUGCUGCAUGGUGGGGGUUGGAAAGUUUCGGCGGUUGGGGAUGGACUCGCGGCUUAUCAGCUUGUUGGUGGGGUAGUGGCUUACCAAGGCUUUGACGGGUAGCCGGCCUGAGAGGGUGACCGGCCACAUUGGGACUGAGAGACGGCCCAGACUCCUACGGGAGGCAGCAGUGGGGAAUAUUGCACAAUGGGCGGAAGCCUGAUGCAGCAACGCCGCGUGCGGGAUGACGGCCUUCGGGUGGUAAACCGCUUUCGCCUGUGACGAAGCGUGAGUGACGGUAAUGGGUAAAGAAGCACCGGCUAACUACGUG